This 404-nucleotide long non-coding RNA is filed under the name Nicotiana benthamiana. RNAcentral's name for it is "long non-coding RNA (NBEN_LNC032063)". The record is from RNAcentral. Lineage: Eukaryota; Viridiplantae; Streptophyta; Magnoliopsida; Solanales; Solanaceae.
AUUUCAAUAUUAUAAAUCCCCCCCACAAUCCAUGGCCGAUGCGAGCAUGCCUCCCGAUAUAUUAUUUCGAUAACAAAUAAGCAUCUCAAAGCCAUAAAGUAAGACUGUGGCUGGGGGAACGAAGUCGUGGUACAGAUCCUUGACCCCGAGGAAAGCAUUGCUACUCAUGCGGAAGAGUUCUUAAGUGUUUACACUUAUCCAUUCGCACUGGUACUUCUACAAAUGAUAUCAAGUCACCCUCGGCCAAAUCCACCUCUUUCUAGCGUAUCGUGAUUAUGCUUCGUUACUUUUCUAGCAAGGUCGAGGAAUUACAGUUUACCCUCAAUCACCUCAUCCGAUCGCAUCGACCUGAUAUCUUUCGAGGGUUGAUCAAGAUCUGAUGUCGAUCAAGCAAAGCCGUCUUU